AGUGAACGCUGGCGGUAGGCCUAACACAUGCAGGUCGAACGGCAGCACAGUAAGAGCUUGCUCUUACGGGUGGCGAGUGGCGGACGGGUGAGGAAUACAUCGGAAUCUACUUUUUCGUGGGGGAUAACGUAGGGAAACUUACGCUAAUACCGCAUACGACCUACGGGUGAAAGCAGGGGAUCUUCGGACCUUGCGCGAUUGAAUGAGCCGAUGUCGGAUUAGCUAGUUGGCGGGGUAAAGGCCCACCAAGGCGACGAUCCGUAGCUGGUCUGAGAGGAUGAUCAGCCACACUGGAACUGAGACACGGUCCAGACUCCUACGGGAGGCAGCAGUGGGGAAUAUUGGACAAUGGGCGCAAGCCUGAUCCAGCCAUGCCGCGUGGGUGAAGAAGGCCUUCGGGUUGUAAAGCCCUUUUGUUGGGAAAGAAAAGCAGCAGGUUAAUACCCCGCUGUUCUGACGGUACCCAAAGAAUAAGCAACGGCUAACUUCGUG
RNAcentral lists this ribosomal RNA (492 nucleotides) under uncultured bacterium. RNAcentral describes it as "partial 16S ribosomal RNA". It matches the Rfam family "Bacterial small subunit ribosomal RNA", at positions 29 to 507 of the family's 1533-position model. The record is from RNAcentral.